AUCAAUGUGCAUUUCUCUUGUGCUACCCUGAACAAGCCCAAUAUCUGAUCUCAGAAGCUAAGCAGGGGUCGGGCCUGUUUAGUACUUGUAUGGGAGACCACCUAGGAAGACCAGGUGCUGUAGGUG
RNAcentral lists this ribosomal RNA (126 nucleotides) under Pteropus alecto (black flying fox). The record is from RNAcentral. Lineage: Eukaryota; Metazoa; Chordata; Mammalia; Chiroptera; Pteropodidae.